UACACAAGGGGGUCGCGGGUUCGAAUCCCGCC
RNAcentral lists this small RNA (32 nucleotides) under Bombyx mori (domestic silkworm). Its description in RNAcentral is "ovarian small RNA-20177". Lineage: Eukaryota; Metazoa; Arthropoda; Insecta; Lepidoptera; Bombycidae. The record is from RNAcentral.